RNAcentral lists this long non-coding RNA (1456 nucleotides) under Pan troglodytes (chimpanzee). Its description in RNAcentral is "long non-coding RNA NONPTRT004910". The record is from RNAcentral. Lineage: Eukaryota; Metazoa; Chordata; Mammalia; Primates; Hominidae.
CUGCAGAGGGCUAUUCUGGCAGAACCUAAUAUCCUAAACUCCUUAAGUACCCUGAAUUUUAAAAUUGUGAUUGUAUUUGGCAGCGUUAAUCAAAAAUUGGAAGUACAUGGAAUUAGAACCUUUGGCCAGAGACUUUCCGAGUUGAAAGCCCUCCCUUAGAAAUAGCCUCUUCUAACCCCUGAAUUUCAUUAUCCAAGAAGAUCCAUGAGCUCUGGAGAGUUCAGGACCCAGGUCUCCUAAGGACUUCUGCUUCCCUGGCUUUCCUUCACAUCUUUCUGUCCUAAGGAUUUAAGACCAUGAAUUUGCAAAUGCUCUGCCUGAAGUGUGUACUGAAGCUCUGGAGACCUCACCCGGAUUCCCAGGGCCAUAAUUAUCAUAAUAAUGAAGUCAGCAUGGAUCAGCCUUACGUUCAUGGCCUCCAGGCCCUAUUCUCCUGCCUCACAGGGACCGGCCAGGAUCUCUAUCCUUACAGCACGUUGGAAUGUAUAUGCUCCUCUCCCCACAUCGCCUUAGGGAGCAGGCAGGUGUCAGGGGCAGCACAAGGACGGCCAACAGGACAGAAGACGGGUUGAAGAUCCGAGAGGCUGAGUCACUUCCACAAAGUAACACAGCUGAUUUUAAAUGCCUGCAUUCAGCAUCCCUGCAGCAGGCUCCAGGUGGAAUUCUAAUGGGACCAGCCUCCAGUCCCUGGACCUUAGCUGUGGAAGGAGAGAAGAGGACAUCUGCACCUCCUCUCAGAGAAAGCCUGAUGCCUACUAAAGGACUUGGGUGGUGGACACAGUGACCCUCAGUCUGGAGCUUGUUCACUGAACAUUGGAGACUAUCAUUUGCGCAGAUGGUCUUGGGCCUCUAUGAGCAGCAGGCUGCACCCCACAGUGACCUCCUCAUUCUACUCUGAGGCAUCUUCAUGAAAGCAGAUGUCCCUUGAAAAGCACCCAAGUGCAGUCUCAGCUGAUGAACUUCAGAGACGAUUGAGACAAAGGCUCUCGGUCCCCUCUGCCCUUGGAUGGUGCCUCUGGUAUGCACUUGGCCUCUGUGUCUUUAUUUAGACUGGUCACUUCACAACCCAUCAUGUCACCCCACCCCUAACCGUGCCCACUCUGGGUCCUCCCCUCAACUGCCUGACUUCCCACUUUGAGCUCAGCAAAGGCAAGAGAUGUUUUGUCUGCUUUGAUACCCUAAAUGCAUGGCGUGGAAGCUGGCACACAGUGGGCCCUUGAAAUUUGGGAGUGAAUAUGUGUAUAUAUUAUAUUCCAACCUCAGCUUUCCUCACUGCUCCUCAUAGUAGGAAUGGAUUGUAAAACUUCCCAGAAUGUUCAAGAGGAGAAAGGAGAGAAAGCAGCCUGGAAUUUGAGCUAAGGGGCCCACAGCCCAGCCACCAAGCCAUCUGUAAAAUGGGGUGGGAAUAUGACAUGAGCCACAGGGGUGCCAUGAGGGUUAAUGAGGUCACCGUGCG